This 636-nucleotide ribosomal RNA is filed under the name Rotylenchulus reniformis. RNAcentral describes it as "SSU rRNA". It matches the Rfam family "Eukaryotic small subunit ribosomal RNA", at positions 1003 to 1664 of the family's 1831-position model. The record is from RNAcentral. Lineage: Eukaryota; Metazoa; Nematoda; Chromadorea; Rhabditida; Hoplolaimidae.
GGCGAUCAGAUACCGCCCUAGUUCUGACCGUAAACGAUGCCAACUAGCGAUCCGCCAGUCGACUCAUCGCUCUGGUGGGGAGCUUCCCGGAAACGAAAGUCUUCCGGUUCCGGGGGAAAUAUGGUUGCAAAGCUGAAACUUAAAGGAAUUGACGGAAGGGCACCACCAGGAGUGGAGCCUGCGGCUUAAUUUGACUCAACACGGGGAAACUCACCCGGCCCGGACACCGUAAGGAUUGACAGAUUGAUAGCUUUUUCAUGAUUCGGUGGAUGGUGGUGCAUGGCCGUUCUUAGUUCGUGGAGCGAUUUGUCUGGUUUAUUCCGAUAACGAGCGAGACUCUGGCCUACUAAAUAGUUGACGCAUUGCCACUGUGCGCACAACUUCUUAGAGGGAUUUUCGGUGUUUUCAACCGCACGAAAUUGAGCAAUAACAGGUCUGUGAUGCCCUUAGAUGUCCGGGGCUGCACGCGCGCUACACUGGCAAACGCAACGUGCCUGUCCUGCCCCGAAAGGAGCGGGUAAACCCCUGAAAUUUUGCCGUGAUUGGGAUCGGACAUUGCAACUAUUGUCCGUGAACGAGGAAUUCCUUGUAGGGGCGAGUCAUCAACUCGUCCCGAAUACGUCCCUGCCCUUUGUA